GGGGGCGGCCCGGCCCGGCCCAGCUCUGCCCCCGGCCGGCCCGACCCCGGCCCCGGCCCCCGGACCAGCCCUUAUCUGAUCCCAGCUCCGGGUUUAAGAGUCCCGGCUCUGCCCGUCGCUCAGCUCGGUUCCUCGCUCGUGCCCGCCCCGUCGGUCUGUCUGGCCGGCCGUCCCACUGCGCAUCCGAGGGGCCGCUCCACCCCGGACCCAAGGCGUUGAAACUGGAUAAAGCCUCGUGGGGUCGUGACAUGAGAAGAGUGGCGGUCGCAGUGUCGCAAGGAUUUGAGGCGGGAAAGAUCGGGCAGCAGCUGCAUGGAGGCUGGUGCGGUGAUUCAGCCAAAAGGAGGAAAGGACCCGACGUCAGGCCAGGAGACUAAGGGAAGAGGCACAGCUCCCGGCAUCAGAUGGAUGUUGACACGAGGAAGGAGAGUCUGGUGGCCCCGGGAGUAGAAUGUGAUGAGCCUCUUUGUUCUACAAGGACCAACCACCCGCCCCCUGCCCCCCGAGAUCACCCUCCUUCUUCCCAGAAGGUUUGGCCACCAGAUCCAGAGUCCAAGGGCUCCAGUGACUGAAAUCCUUUCUCUGCUGGAAAAGUACAAGUUACUCCUUGGGCAGGAGUGAUGGCACCUUGUAGGAAGCGAGCUGUCUCCUAUUUCAGAGACUCGUCCCUCUUUCUUCUAUCAGGACAAACAGCAAUCCUGAAUUUGAGCAAGUG
Non-coding RNA from Leptonychotes weddellii (Weddell seal), 715 nucleotides. The record is from RefSeq and is a predicted model, not a curated record. Lineage: Eukaryota; Metazoa; Chordata; Mammalia; Carnivora; Phocidae.